RNAcentral lists this long non-coding RNA (2263 nucleotides) under Numida meleagris (helmeted guineafowl). RNAcentral's name for it is "lncRNA (ENSNMEG00000023253.1)". Lineage: Eukaryota; Metazoa; Chordata; Aves; Galliformes; Numididae. The record is from RNAcentral.
AUGGCCAUAAGAAAGCCUAUAGGCAUAAAUAAAUAUGGACUGCCAACCACACGGAUAUUUCAGGUUCAGACGCAGACAGCAUGCCCAGACGAGAGGGCAGAGCGUGGGGCGGGGAGCCAGCAGGAGAAUUUCUCCGCUGCAGGAAAGAGACAGCUCCAUCUCAUGAGUCAGGGCCCCGCACCUGCGGAGAUGGCAGUGGCAGAGCACCCAUCCCUGCCAAAAAGGGCGUUUGUUCGAGGUGAGUGCUCAGUGCUCAGCAAAUGUCUUAUCUGCCCCGUGAUUUGGGAAGUGCAGCUCAUUCAGAGCGUGCUAAACAAAGCAAUGGGAAACGAGGCAACAGUGGAAAUCCCGCAGAAGCAGAGAAAAGACAAAGCCGCCCUCAGAAAGUUCAAUGUUUUUCGUUGUUUUUCUCUGAAUAAAGGAAAUUUAUUUGCUCUCAACAGAGAUAGGAAGAAAUUACAUCGCCCGUAGUAAUGCUGCCCCAAAGGAGGAACUAAGCUGGUUUGCUGUGGUGUAACAGAGAGCAGAAAUCUGCUGAGGAGCUGAGGACACGUGUGCUGCUCACGCUGGGUCUUCUAAAACUGCAUCCACUACGGUAGCCCAGAGAAACACCCAACCACUAACCCAGGCUAAUGAGGAUGCAGCCUGACACCCUGUGAAGAUGCACAGCACUCACUAAUUCAAUGGCUGUUGAGUUGCUACUAAGGAACAAACUGGUAGAUGGGGCCCCUAGAUCACUUGACUUUCUCUAUAGGACACCUCUGAGAGGCUCUGACGAAGCAACCCUUGCUGCCCGUUGCUUUCUUUCCCUCCUUCUCCAUGCUUUCCCCAGCAAGCAGCUACCUGGGUGGGAUUUCCCAGGUGCCCACGCAGGCGCUUGGCAGCCGUGCUGAUGCCCGGGGCUCCCUGAAAGAUGACGCUGCACACAGGGGGAGAUGCUGCACGCAGGUCCCACCCUGCGCAGGAUGCACCAACAUGUGCUGGAUUUUCCAGACCACUUGCAGGAUCUUCAGUAGGGAGCCCUGCGGUUCCUUCUACCCCAGUAUCCAAGCCUGCGAGGCACAGUUUGCAGGGACUGCAUGGCUCGUGGUGUCUGGGGAGUGGGCAGGCUGAACGAGCCAGGUUGGCACUGCUGUCAGAUCCGUGUGAAAGUCACAAAGGGCGAAUGAAGGCUGUGAUCAGGCUCGGGGUUUACACAGGGCAAAGGGAGAUGGCAAUCGGGUACAUUCAGUAGAUUAUCACUUCUGAAACAGCACCUUGCUCUAUCAGUUCCUCUCUUUGUUAUCAGAGCAAAACUCACACUUUCCUAGCUGAAAGUUCAGCCGAAACACAAAUGUCACUGAAAACCCAGAGAGACCUUUGCUUUUCGAGUUUCGCUCUCCUGAGCCCAGGGAAGAUUAUGCAACAGGAACCCUGGGUGAAUCAUCUUCUGGCACUGCAGUAAAUUAGGAAAUGUUUGCUGUAAUGUUGUAUGGGUUUCUACCAUCUAUUUUUUUGUUUGUUUGUUUUCCAGUGGAUCUUGGAGCCUUCAAAUUUCACGAGGCUGUUGCCCUCAUCUGAGCUAGGAAAAGGUUAGCAGUAGCUGCUGUAGCACAGCUCUAGAGAGGAGCUGCUGUAAGGAAGUGAUGCUACAGCAAUGCUGAAUGUCCUUGCUCAGCAUUUUUGGGUUGUUUUAGGGUGUUGUUUGUUUUUUUCUUUUUAGAUUUCCUGUGAAUAUUUCUUGCGAUUCUUUUCAUUGCUCGCUUUGUUUCUCUCCUGUAGCUUUUAACAUAGUAACCUAUCAGAUCACACAGCACCAAGGAAGGUCAAAGAGAUGUUCCUCAAAUACAUGAGAAUUCACACUCUCAGUCUUCCCUUUCCAAAUUUAAGGAUCGAAACAAGUUUCAGGAUGAAACAGAAAGUUUAAGAGAAAUACCAGUAUUGUGAGAUUCAGAGUAAAACCAUGAGUACUGCAAGGACUACAGGGGACAUCUACCAGACACUUGGUUAAGAUGUGUGAUGCCAUAAAUACCCUCUCCGUAAAGGUGCAAGCCUCGGAUGCAAUUUCAUUUCUGGUUAUUCCUUGUACCACUAUAUAUUUUUUUAAGAGCCAGAGGGUGGGAAGUCCUGCAAGCAGCUGAAGCUGGAACAGAAAUGGCAUGAAUGAACCCCCUUGUUGAUAAGCUGAGUGAGGGCACUGCUGAGCCACACGAUCUGUUUUGCUGGAUAUAAGCUUAAACUCCAGGCAAAUAAAAAGGGGCUUGAGCUUAUUAGCUUGCUCUGU